Frankliniella occidentalis (western flower thrips) is the source of this 800-nucleotide long non-coding RNA. RefSeq lists it as uncharacterized. The transcript has 2 exons. NCBI's taxonomy places the organism in Eukaryota, Metazoa, Arthropoda, Insecta, Thysanoptera, Thripidae. The record is from RefSeq and is a predicted model, not a curated record.
CCGCGCACCAGGCCUAUUCUCCUCACACCAGACCACGCGGAAGGACGCCCCCCGUACACGACAGUCAGAGCCUCUCAUUUGUGCUGUGCAGCCUCAUGAGGUCACACGCCGUCUGCUGUGGAGGUGACUUCACGGUGACGUCAAGAGUGACAAGUUUCUUUUUCCAAGCAGAUGGGCAUUAAUCCUGGCUGUCUGUCCACGUCACCUCGCUGCCCCUUUGCAGGCCUUUAUACCGUGUGAGCAAAUUCACACCGUGAACUUUUUGUGGCUGUACUGCAUUUGGGGGCGGGCUGGUUUUCUUCGUGAACGGAGCAAUGCGCGUAUGGUGGUCGUCAGUGAUGGGAAUUCCUACGUGGUGCCGCCUUUGCGCCUUUGGCCAAGGGGAUUGGAGGAGAGAUUGGUCGAGCCGGCCAGAUCUGUCGCCAGAGUGUCUGCUGUGGUCUCGAUCCCCCUCUCCCCAUCCCGUCCCCGCACCUCCCAACCCCCUCCCUUUGGCAUCGUGUCGUGUUGCUAUAACGCGGUCCUCGACCCAACCAACAGCUGCUAUAAACAGUAAUGUAUUUCGCUUCCAAACGCUACUUUAGCGUACAUUUCAUUGUUACCAACAGAGUGUCCAAGAAUGUUUAUAUAUCACUGCGUGAAAAGAACAAGGUUAUCUGAGAAAGUUCAUCGUUUGUUGGCUAAAAUGAUUUGGGUAUGUGUGUCACAUUCAUAAAAAAAAUGUCGAGCUAUGUUUGUUGGGUCGAUUUUAUCAAAACAUUUUAAUUUCAAGAUACAAAAUAUACAAACAACUUGUUGAA